Molecule: ribosomal RNA, 478 nt
Filed under: uncultured bacterium
Lineage: Bacteria
Description: partial 16S ribosomal RNA
Rfam family: Bacterial small subunit ribosomal RNA
Source: RNAcentral
GACGAACGCUGGCGGCGUGCUUAACACAUGCAAGUCGAACGGUAAGGCCCUUCGGGGUACACGAGUGGCGAACGGGUGAGUAACACGUGGGUGAUCUGCCCUGCACUUCGGGAUAAGCCUGGGAAACUGGGUCUAAUGCCGGAUAGGACCACUGCCUGCAUGGGUGGGGGUGGAAAGCUUUUGCGGUGUGGGAUGGGCCCGCGGCCUAUCAGCUUGUUGGUGGGGUGAUGGCCUACCAAGGCGACGACGGGUAGCUGGCCUGAGAGGGUGACCGGCCACACUGGGACUGAGAUACGGCCCAGACUCCUACGGGAGGCAGCAGUGGGGAAUAUUGCACAAUGAGCGCAAGCCUGAUGCAGCGACGCCGCGUGGGGGAUGACGGCCUUCGGGUUGUAAACCUCUUUCAGCACCGACGAAGCGCAAGUGACGGUAGGUGCAGAAGAAGGACCGGCCAACUACGUGCCAGCAGCCGCCGUAA